GUCUCUGUAGCGCAAUGGAGAGCGCGUUGGACUUAUAAUCCAAAGGUCGUUGCUCGAAACCCACCUGGGAUG
This is a non-coding RNA of Trichonephila clavipes, 72 nucleotides long. NCBI's taxonomy places the organism in Eukaryota, Metazoa, Arthropoda, Arachnida, Araneae, Nephilidae. The record is from the annotation of a GenBank genome assembly.